Molecule: ribosomal RNA, 502 nt
Filed under: uncultured bacterium
Lineage: Bacteria
Description: partial 16S ribosomal RNA
Rfam family: Bacterial small subunit ribosomal RNA
Source: RNAcentral
GAUUAACGCUGGCGGCGUGCCUAACACAUGCAAGUCGAGCGGCAGCGAGUUUUACACUGAAUUCUGGAAGCUUCUAGUUGAAAGAGAAGAUUUAUUCAAGAAUUUUGUGUAAAAUGUCGGCGAGCGGCGGACGGCUGAGUAACGCGUGGGAACGUACCCCAAAGCGAGGGAUAACGCAUCGAAAGGCGUGCUAAUACCGCAUAUGGUCUUCGGAUUAAAGCCUUCGGGCGCUUUGGGAACGGCCUGCGUAAGAUUAGAUAGUUGGUGGGGUAAUGGCCUACCAAGUCGACGAUCUUUAACUGGUUUGAGAGGAUGAUCAGUCAGACUGGAACUGAGACACGGUCCAGACUCCUACGGGAGGCAGCAGUGAGGAAUCUUCCACAAUGGGCGAAAGCCUGAUGGAGCAACGCCGCGUGCAGGAUGAAGGCCUUCGGGUUGUAAACUGCUUUUAUAAGUGAGGAUUAUGACAGUAACUGAUGAAUAAGGAUCGGCUAACUACGUG